CAGGGCCCGUUCCACGCGCUGCCGCCGCCUCUAGGGCCCUGACCCCUCCCGGGCACACCGGGCCCGUCCCCGGAGGCGAUGCUGGCCCCGGGUCUGCCCUGCGGUUCCCCCUCCCGCGCUGCUUCCUGCCCGCAGUAGGGGCCGCUCCUCACCGCGCAGGCCCCGCUCAGAGGCGCCGCAGAGCCGGAGAGGCCCCCGCGGCUGGAGAGGCCCUGCCGCCCCCCAGAUGCCCCCGGGGCCCUGCCCGGUUCUUCCCUUCCCAGCCCCGACGCCUCUGGCUUCACCUCUUCCCUUCAUUUCACGGAUCCGCUUAUUUCAGGGGAGCUCCAGGAGGGCAGGGAUUUUGUCCGUUUCUUUCACUUUUGGAUCUGCAGAGCCCAGGACAGCACCUGGCCCGUAGUAGGUGCCGCAAGAAACGCUUGUUGAAGGAAGGAAGGAACGAAGCCACGAGCAUUGCAGGAGGAUUAAAUGAAAGAUCAAUUCACCGCACCUCACGGUAAUAGGCACCCUGUUUCCUCCCAGCCCCGAGAUUGGAGAGUUUGUUUUCAUCCUCCUGUUGUCUGAACACAGCACAGAGCAAUCCUGAGACACAGAGCAACGUGCCUUUCAAAAUUUUUAAUAAACAUGGAAUCUUGCUAUGCUGGCCAGGCUGGUCUUGAACUGCUAGCCUCAAGCGAUCCUCCCUCCUUGGCCUCUCAAAAUGUUGGGAUUAUAGGCGUGAACCACUGUAACCAGCCUCAAGACAGGCUUUCUAAGACACAAGAUUCCGCGUGUCAACUGUACCCAUGGAAACCAUUCCUUAGUUUAUUGUCACCGCCAUUCCUAACUCUGAUGUGAAAAUCCCUGCGUUCAUCAACAUAACGCGGUUAGGGUCACACUCAUCACGGGGCCCCCAUUGCCUCUGGCGCACCCCACAACUGACAUCUGCGGGGCCUUCCCGCUAGGCUUCGAGUUUCAGCUUCCGCACCAGGCCUGCCUUUCUGCAGGGGCCAGGGUGGGGGUCCUGCGCUGAUGGACCCUCUGAACCCCCACUGCUGCAGAGGGGCUGUUCCUUCCGUUACAUCCCUUGUGCCCGAAUCCACCCUGUGUCUUCUCUUUUCUCAGCAGGACAUUUUAAAAGCCCAGACCCCUUCCUUGCAGAGCAAAUGUCCAGGCUUCGGAGGUCACUGUCACAUCCCAAGAACCCCCUUCACCAGGGGCCACUCUUGAGACUGGGCUGAAGCCCCCUGGAGAGAACCACAACACCCUGGAAGGCAAGAAAUGGGGAGCUGCAUCCGCAUCCACAGGGUCCCACCAGCCCGGAACAUCCCCGCUGGCCUGGAAUUCCACCCCACACACCCUGCUGAUCCUGGGCCCGUCCCUGUGGCCAGGAGAUGGAGUUCAGGGACUUCGCAGGCCUGGGCCACGCAACUGCCCUAGGAGCCUGGCAUCAGGGAGCGGUGCUGUGUGCACCCCCAGGUCCACUGAGAGUAGGGAGGGGGCUUCCCCACGGGUAGGUGGGGAUGGAGGCUGGUCUGAAGAUCAGGAGACGGAGCCCCACCCCGCUUCGCAGGUGAGCAACAAAAGCUCUGAACGGUCAACUGAACUACUUAGGGCGACUGGCGGGAAUCUAACCAGGUCUGCCUGACUGUGUGUCUGCCUGUGUGUCUCUGCUGUCUCUCUAUCUGUCUGUCUGUCUGCCUGUCCAUGUGUGUCUGUCUCUCAUCUGUCCACCUAUCUGCCUGUCUGUGUGUCUGUCCGUCCAUCUGUGUGUCUGCCUGUCCAUCUAUCCGUCUGUUGUCCAUCUCUCCAUCUAUCUGUCUGUCUGUCUGCCUGUCCAUGUGUGUCUGUCUCUCAUCUGUCCGCCUAUCUGCCUGUCUGUGUGUCUGUCCGUCCAUCCGUGUGUCUGCCUGUCCAUCUAUCCAUCUGUUGUCCAUCUCUCCAUCUGUCUGUCUGCCUGUCUGUCUGCACAGCCCCUGACCUCACACUCAGGCUGCGUUUGCAGCAGCCGUUUCCCAUCUAAGCAUCCGUGUCCUCCUUGCUGAGUUGGAGGUAGGAAGUCACAUUGACAUUCUGUGUGUCUGUGAAGGUAAAUAAAAUUAUAGACACAGGAGGAGCAGACCAUCUGCUUCUUAGAGAUAAUGAAA
This is a long non-coding RNA of Pan troglodytes (chimpanzee), 2126 nucleotides long. RefSeq lists it as uncharacterized. Lineage: Eukaryota; Metazoa; Chordata; Mammalia; Primates; Hominidae. The transcript has 2 exons. The record is from RefSeq and is a predicted model, not a curated record.